GUUCACCUCUGUCAGUAUAAAGCUCACAGCUGAUGGUGAGAGCAAAAAACAAGUCAUGAGGUUGAAGGAAUUGUCCAGUUUGUCAUUAAGAGGUUUAUUAAACACACAGGGUCAGUAGUGGAACAUCAGCUGGACUCAAAACUCCUAAUCUCUUGUUUCUCAGCCCAGUUCCUAACUAGUGUGUGUGUGUGUGUGUGUGUGUGUGUGUGUUACACUAUCUUGUGAUCAUGUAUGUGUUUUCUUUUAACUCGCACAGAGCCACUUGUAGUUAGACAGCUGUGGUUAGACACCAUGUUACAACCACAUCUGAAAAUAAAGAGCACUUGGAGAGAGUAAUACUACCAGCGUUGCUAACUCUCACACAUUUAGAAGUGUAAGAUUUUUGUGAGAUUUCCGUCUUGAGGAUCCAACCAUUGAAGUUCAUCUCCUCUGUUAUCAAGUACUUCUACCUAUAUUUAUGGAGUUUAAUCUGUUAUUCACGUUCAGUUAGUGUAAUGUGUUUUUGGGAGGUUAAUAUCUCUAUUUCAAAUAAGGAGUUUCAUAUGAAAGCUGAUGUCAAAGUUCCUGAAGCCUGUAGCUUUCAAGACAGGUUUAGAGACUGCUGACCUUCUUGGACAAGAAAACCAACUGCCAUCUGAAUAAAAGUGAUUAGAUAUGUUACCUUUUUUUUUUUUUUUUUAAAAUGAAAACUGCAAUAACUUAUUGUUAUGUAGUGAGGGCAGCAUGCUUCUGCUGUGAGAGAAAGAGAUGGUUUGUUGUCUUUUUGGCACUUCAGCUUGGCCCUAGGACUGACAACAAGCGCCACUGUGAGAAGGCGGCAUGAGGCUGGCGAGAUUCCCUCCAGUGAUGUUGCAAACUUCUACAAAGCAGCAGUGGGCUUUGUGGUGAGGUCUACAGAGUAUACCUUGACAAAGCUGCCACUGAAUGACCCCCUUCUGUCACAUGCUCAGUUUAUGGACUUCAGGCGGAGACUGGACACCAAAAGGGAUGAUGUGCUUUAUUUUGUCCAAAGGUGAACAAAUUAACCCUGUUUCACUAUACCAGUAAUCUGAGAGACGUGGAGUGGUGGCUCUACCAGCUGCUGAAAUGAUCAGUUUCCAGUUUUUAUAAUUGCUUGCACAUUUCUCAAUACUAUGUUCACUUUUUUCAAAACUCUUCACACAGUUGGCUUCACCAGUGUGCAGCACAUCCAUAUCAAUAUCACAAUGCACUAUAACUGUCGAAACACUUCAUACAUGCCUGGAGUAUACUGGAACCACACCCUGGAUUGUACACCAGUCAACUGCAGGAACCACACACAUAAAUAACAAAGAGCAAUUUAUCUUAGCUGGUCCACCUACUGGCAUGUUUUAGAAGGAGGGAGGAAAUCCACAUGGCCAUCGGGAGAACAAGCACAGAAACUCCACACAGAUGGGAUCCCUAGCUCAGGAUUGAAGCGGGGACCCUGGAACUGUGAGGAGACAACGCCACCCACUGCAUCACCACGCUGCUCACAGGUCCACAGAUUUCCCCUUUUGUAUACAUGGUAAUGACCUGCCUGACCCAUCCUGAUGCCCUACUUCUGGCUAGAUUUCUCAUUGGUUGAGUUCACUUGCUGCUACUGGGGGUGGCCCCAUAUGGGCAAUUGCCAGACCUCCAGCUUGGCCCUAGGACUGACAACAAGCGCCACUGUGAGAAGGUGCAUGAGGCUGGCGAGAUUUCCUCCAGUGAUGUUGCUAACUUCUACAUAGCAGCAAUGGGCUUUCUGGUGAAGUCUACAGAGUAUACCUUGACAAAGCUGCCACUGAAUGACCCAAUUCUGUCACAUGCUCAGUUUGUGGACUUCAGGCAGAGACUGGACACCAAAAGGAAUAAUGUGCUUUACUUUGUCCAAAGGUGAACAAAUGAACCCUGUUUGACUAUACCAAUAUUCCAAGUAAACAAUAAUUAAAUUAAGAUAAUCUGAGUCAUUUGGAGUGUUUGCUGGCCACCAGCUGCUGUAAUGGAUAAGACAAGAUCCUUCGUAGGAGGGAGGGAUUCUGUAAUUGAAAUGUGUGUUUUGUCUUGUUUGGCUAAGUUGGUGAUGAAGAAUUAGUUGCAGUUUUAUUUACAGAAUUUCAUAAUAGAAAGGAAACUAGUGUUGACAUUUGACAAUCACCUUCUGCCAUUUGACAAUGCCAGAGAACCGGACAGCAUGGGUGAGGAGUUCCUGGAUUUUCAAAUGCUAGAAGACACCGACAUCCCAGAAAGGGUCUGGAAAACUGCCCUGGUCAAGGUGGAUGGGAAGAAGGAAUUCCACCAAAUGGACAUCAUAAGGGCACACUUGAGUGCCAUGAAGAGCCGUUUAACAGGUGCACCCAGGUUCCAAAGACUUGUGAAAGUGGCACAGCUUGUGCUCUGCCUACCGCACUCAAAUGCAGACUCUGAGAAAACCUUCUGUGAUAGGCCUCAACAAAACUGAGACAAGAGAUAAAUUAUCACUAGAGGGUACACUGUCCUCUGUAAUGUGUAUCAAGAUGACCCAGAUGGAACCAUGCCACAGAUAUGAGCCACCUCUGCAGAUGAUUAAAAACUCAGUCUGCAGCCUCUGAAUACGACAAAGAAAAUUCAGCAAAAUAGGUUCAUAAACCAUGCCAGGAAAAUGUUUUUCCUAUUUUACUUCAAAAGGAAAGCAUAAAUUGUACAUUUACAUUGUUUUCAUGACCGUUAGGCACAUUUUACCCCCUAAUUCUCAUUUCCAAACAGCAAAAAAUGUAAUUUGAUUCAUAAAUCUCAAUCCAGCCUGGUAGCCAAAGUUGGCAACCCUGUAGUACAGAAUGUGCAGAUUUCUUUAAAAUGAUCAGUUAUCAGUUUUUUUUUCUCAAUACUAUGUUCACUUUUUCAGAACUAUUCACGCAGCUGGCUAUACCAUCGUGCAGCUCAGUACAGCAGUUAACCUCACAUUAUAUCUAUCAAAACACUUAAUACACGCCUCAAAACCAACUCAUUCUACCAGAACACUCACAAAGGAUCUCUCUCUCAUCAAAGUAGACCUGGAGUAUACCAGAAAUAAACUCUGGAUUGAACACCAGUCAACUGCAGGAACCAUAGACCCACACACACACAUUCAUAAUAAAGAACAAUUUGUCUUAGCCAGUCGACUUACUGGCAUGUUUCAGGAGGAGGGAGGAAAUCAGAGGAAACCCACAUGGACAUGGGGAGAACAAGCACAGAAACUCCACACAUAUGGGACCCUGGGUUCAGGAUUGAAGUGGGGACCCUGGAGCUGUGAGGAGACAACGCUACCCACUGCAUCACCACACUGCUCAUAGGGCCAUAGAUUUCCCCUUUUGUAUAGAUGGUAAUGAAGUGAAAAACAGAACACCUGGGUAAGGCUAAAUUAGAAAUCAACUGUGAUUAUUUAUUCAUUUGUUUGUUUGUUUAUUUGUUUUUAUUAUUAUAAAAUGCAUAACUUUUGGUUCUGAACUUGAUUAUUAAUUAGUUCUGAAAACCGUAUGUGAAUAUUUGAAAAAUAAUUUGUAGAUAGACAGAGUUUUGCUGGAGGUUGAGUUUGAGUGAGAAAAGAUAUCAUGAAUUUUAAAAGUUGAGGCUAUUCAAUCCUUUCUGUGUCAAGGCAAUGAAAACUGAUACACAGUUCAGUCGAUAUAGACCACUAAUGUGAGUUUUGAAGAUGUGAACGCAAUAUCAAUAAAGCCACUGUAUGUUUAAAAAAAAAAACUGCAAAUAAGGCGUAAGGUAGGAAGUGAAGCUGGUCACUGACAGAGGGACAGCAGAAAAAGGUGUGAAAUUCACACGCAUCUAUUUACAGCUAAGACCAGCAUGAGGAAGUGACGUACAAGUUACAGGAAAAUAAUUUUGCUACUACGUUUUAUGAGUUAUUAUAGAUACAUUCAAUGAGACAGAGAUUGUGAGAGAUGUAAUUCAGUAAAUGUGUAAAAACAUACACUGUAAGUAUUAUAGGGAUGUAAAAUAAUCUCACUGUAGAAUCCUCCUUAUUCAUUAGCCCACCUCUCUUCAUCAGUACAUUUUAGACUAAAGUUAAUCAGCAAGAAAAAAUCCUGUAGUAAGCAAAGUUGUUGUUAAUUAAAACUCUAAAUGAUAAACAGUUUACAGUGUUGGUUUGGUUGUUCAGGAACAGGGCUGAACUCCGGCCUACUGUAAACCCAGUCUGGACAGAAAGCACAUGAACUAAACACAAAACAGCUGAACUAAGAACUGGCUAAUAUUCUCUCUCCUUCUGUAAUAGAAAAUAGAAAAUAACUUCUCACCUGCAGCGACGUGAAACACAACAGACAAAAGAUACAAGCACUUCAUCAUUACUGAUUCUUCUACACGCACACCAGUCCCUCAAAGUGAAACACACACACACUCUGUCACAUUUCCUGAGUGUCUGUCUUUUAUAUAGUCUGGUUUUUAGGAAACCGCAACAACGCUAUGUCAUUUCUCUUUUUGGAAAAUCUUUUCAUCACUCUUUCCAUUACCUAAUUUAUUUUUAUAUGCAGUAUUAAUAGCUAUUCAUAUUUUCUCAUGUGGUGGUUUUAUCACAGUAUCAUGAUUGUUAUCUGUCUUAGGUGCCAUUUUCUCAAUGCUUGCAAUGCUUCUUGCCUUUUCUUUAGAUGAAAUUUUACCUAAAUAAACAAAUGAAUGCAUUACAA
Pangasianodon hypophthalmus (striped catfish) is the source of this 4634-nucleotide long non-coding RNA. RefSeq lists it as uncharacterized. The record is from RefSeq and is a predicted model, not a curated record. The transcript is spliced from 2 exons. Lineage: Eukaryota; Metazoa; Chordata; Actinopteri; Siluriformes; Pangasiidae.